Molecule: long non-coding RNA, 238 nt
Organism: Lepidothrix coronata (blue-crowned manakin)
Lineage: Eukaryota; Metazoa; Chordata; Aves; Passeriformes; Pipridae
Exons: 3
Source: RefSeq, a predicted model, not a curated record
CAGUGCGACUUUCUGUUGUCCCAACUUUCUGUUGGAGAGUAACAAUAUUUCUACAGCUGAAAAUGGAUGUAAAGCAAAAGCUGUUGUUGUGUUAGACUAAGUUGUUUCUCUGUGGAGAAGCAGCUAAUGGAAACAGAGAAGGGCAAAAAACCAUCAGGACAGGACCAGACACCUGCUAAGAGUUAUGCACGUGCUCAGAUGCCCUUCUGAAUCAGUCUUUGCCUGGAGAGCUGUUAGG